AGUGAACGCUGGCGGUAGGCCUAACACAUGCAAGUCGAACGGCAGCACAGUAAGAGCUUGCUCUUACGGGUGGCGAGUGGCGGACGGGUGAGGAAUACAUCGGAAUCUACUUUUUCGUGGGGGAUAACGUAGGGAAACUUACGCUAAUACCGCAUACGACCUACGGGUGAAAGCAGGGGAUCUUCGGACCUUGCGCGAUUGAAUGAGCCGCUGUCGGAUUAGCUAGUUGGCGGGGUAAAGGCCCACCAAGGCGACGAUUCGUAGCUGGUCUGAGAGGAUGAUCGGCCACACUGGAACUGAGACACGGUCCAGACUCCUACGGGAGGCAGCAGUGGGGAAUAUUGGACAAUGGGCGCAAGCCUGAUCCAGCCAUACCGCGUGGGUGAAGAAGGCCUUCGGGUUGUAAAGCCCUUUUGUUGGGAAAGAAAAGCAGCAGGUUAAUACCCCGCUGUUCUGACGGUACCCAAAGAAUAAGCACCGGCUAACUUCGUG
Molecule: ribosomal RNA, 492 nt
Filed under: uncultured bacterium
Lineage: Bacteria
Description: partial 16S ribosomal RNA
Rfam family: Bacterial small subunit ribosomal RNA
Source: RNAcentral